CCGACGGUGAGAGACGAAAGCUGGGGGAGCAAACCGGAUUAGAUACCCGGGUAGUCCCAGCUGUAAACGAUGCGCGUUAGGUGUGUCAGUGACCACGUGUCACUGAUGUGCCGAAGGGAAACCGUGAAACGCGCCGCCUGGGGAGUACGGUCGCAAGGCUGGAACUUAAAGGAAUUGGCGGGGGAGCACCACAACGGGUGGAGCCUGCGGUUUAAUCGGACUCAACGCCGGAAAUCUCACCGGAUAA
Molecule: ribosomal RNA, 247 nt
Filed under: uncultured archaeon
Lineage: Archaea
Description: partial 16S ribosomal RNA
Rfam family: Archaeal small subunit ribosomal RNA
Source: RNAcentral